GUAUCAUGGCUCAGGAUGAACGCUAGCGGCAGGCUUAACACGUGCAAGUCGAGGGGCAGCAUAAUGGAUAGCAAUAUCUAUGGUGGCGACCGGCGCACGGGUGCGUAACGCGUAUGCAACCUACCUUUAACAGGGGGAUAACACUGAGAAAUUGGUACUAAUACCCCAUAAUAUCAUAGAAGGCAUCUUUAUGGUUGAAAAUUCCGAUGGUUAGAGAUGGGCAUGCGUUGUAUUAG
This 236-nucleotide ribosomal RNA is filed under the name uncultured bacterium. RNAcentral's name for it is "partial 16S ribosomal RNA". It matches the Rfam family "Bacterial small subunit ribosomal RNA", at positions 14 to 244 of the family's 1533-position model. The record is from RNAcentral.